RNAcentral lists this ribosomal RNA (253 nucleotides) under uncultured bacterium. Its description in RNAcentral is "partial 16S ribosomal RNA". It matches the Rfam family "Bacterial small subunit ribosomal RNA", at positions 524 to 776 of the family's 1533-position model. The record is from RNAcentral.
UACGAACUGUGCGAACGUUAUUCGGAAUCACUGGGCUUACAGGGUGCGUAGGCGGCUAUUCAGGUCAGGUGUGAGAGCCCCCGGCUCAACCGGGGAACUGCGCUUGAAACCGAGUGGCUCGAGUCAGCUAGAGGUACACGGAACUUCCAGUGGAGCGGUGAAAUGUGUUGAUAUUGGAAGGAACACCGGAGGCGAAAGCGGUGUACUGGGGCUGGUCUGACGCUGAGGCACGAAAGCCAGGGGAGCGAACGGG